This 681-nucleotide unclassified non-coding RNA is filed under the name uncultured marine bacterium. Its description in RNAcentral is "partial contains 16S ribosomal RNA, 16S-23S ribosomal RNA intergenic spacer, and 23S ribosomal RNA". The stretch from base 1 to 113 matches the Rfam family "Bacterial small subunit ribosomal RNA", at positions 1412 to 1533 of the family's 1533-position model. The record is from RNAcentral.
UGGGAGUGCCUGAAGUCGGUAACCGCAAGGAGCCGCCUAGGGUAAAACUAGUAACUGGGGCUAAGUCGUAACAAGGUAGCCGUACCGGAAGGUGCGGCUGGAACACCUCCUUUCUAGAGAAAGACGACUGAAUUUGAAGAAAUUCAACAAAAAAUGUGUUUUACUUAAGCUGUCCAUCUUAUUUUUAUAAUCUAUUCGUUAGAGUCUCGUAGCUCAGCUGGUUAGAGCGCUACACUGAUAAUGUAGAGGUCGGCAGUUCGAGCCUGCCCGAGACUACUUUUUGAUAGAUCAUUUAUGGAAAUUUAGAGGCUGGGAAACUUUUAUUUUUUUCCGUUCUUUUUUUCAGAAUGGGGGAUUAGCUCAGCUGGCUAGAGCGCCUGCCUUGCACGCAGGAGGUCAUCGGUUCGACUCCGAUAUUCUCCACAAAGGUUUUUUUAAACCGUACGUUCAUUGACAUAUUGAAUUAUUUAAGAUACAUAAAAAUAAAAGGUAUAAAUUAUUAAUCGAGCCGAUUAAUAAUUUGUACGAGCAAAGUAAAAAUUACAAUUUUAAGAGAAAGUAAAGUUACGAUAGGCUAAUUAAGGGCGUAUGGGGAAUGCCUAGGCUCUCAGAGGCGAAGAAGGACGUGAUAAGCUGCGAAAAGUUACGGGGAAUGGCACACACAUUUUGAUCCGUAAAUAU